This 110-nucleotide ribosomal RNA is filed under the name Candidatus Staskawiczbacteria bacterium RIFCSPLOWO2_01_FULL_38_12b. Lineage: Bacteria; Candidatus Staskawicziibacteriota. The record is from RNAcentral.
UAAGGCGAUUAUAUCGGAGGUGCUCCACCUGUUCCCAUUUCGAACACAGUAGUGAAAUCCUCCAGAGCCGAUGGUAGUGUGAUGAACGCGAGAGUAGGUCGUCGCCUUAC